Benincasa hispida (wax gourd) is the source of this 3465-nucleotide non-coding RNA. The record is from RefSeq and is a predicted model, not a curated record. NCBI's taxonomy places the organism in Eukaryota, Viridiplantae, Streptophyta, Magnoliopsida, Cucurbitales, Cucurbitaceae.
UUUUCUCCUUUCUCCUUCUUUCUUCCACAAUUUUUUUCUCCUUUUCUCUUCUUCUUCAACCUAAUCCUUUUUUAAUGGGUUCCUUUCCCUCUCUUCUUCUAUCAUUUCUUCACCUCAAGUACCAAUCGAGCGUCAUCAAAAUUGUGCACAAUCAUCGAAAGUCACUCCGUUUGGGGUCAUCGAACGUUUGCAGCUCCAUGUCCAAUCUACUCAAUGGGUUUAGAGUUUGCCGGAAAUUGUAGCUUCGAGUAGUUGUCGGAAUGAAGGGAUUCAAAUGGAGGAAUGGUUGAAAAGAGGAGGAGAAGAACGUUGAGGAAGAAGAAGGGAGUUUGUUGGAGAAUGGGUUAAAAAAAUAAAAAAAAAUAAUAAUAAUAAUAGAGUUGGGUUAUUUUGACCAUGCAGCUCAUGCUACCUAAUGUCAAAGAAGGAGUCUAAGCCCAAAUUGCUGAGGUGGGUUCUUCUCCUCGAGGAGUUUAACCUGAGACUUCAGGAUAGAAAGGGAUGCGAGAAUGUUGAUGGAGGUUGUCUUAGUUUUAAUGGAGACUUCCCUUACCAUAUUUUGAUGCAGACAGAUGGUAUUUCUAUGACUCCCUGGACAAUUGUGAAUUUCUUGACCACUGGUAAGUUCCCUCAUGGUAUGAAUAAACAUAAACAAAAUAAAAUCAAGAGUGAGUAAAAGUAUUAUGUUUGGGAGCACCCUAUUCUCUGGAAAUUAUGUUUAGAUCAGGUAGUUAGGAGGUGUGUCCCUAAUGAUGAGUUGUUUUCUGUUCUUGAAUUUCAUCAUAAGCAUGCAUGUAGAGGGCACUUCAGUCCCAAGAGAACCGCCAAGAAAGUCUUAGAUUCUGGUUUAUAUUGGGACACAUUAUUUAGGGAUGCAUAUUUUGUCUGUAAAACUUGUGAGCGGUGUCAGAAAUCUGGUAGAUUGUCCCGUAGGAAUGAGAUACCACAAUUCCCUGUCCUUUUUUGCAAAAUAUUUGAUGUUUGAGGAAUUGACUUUAUGGGACCUUUUCCUUCUUCUUGUGGAUAUAAAUACAUUUUAUUGGCAGUGGACUAUGUUUCCAAAUGGGUGGAAGCAAAGGCCACAAUUAUUGAUGAUGCUAAAGUGGUUUCACGUUUCUUGAAGACUAACAUUCUAUGUAGGUUUGGAUUCCCUAAAGCAAUCAUCGCGAUCAAGGAUCACACUUUUGCAAUCGAGUCAUUGCCUCCAUGUUGAAGAAAUAUGGUGUUCAACAUCGUAUUGCCACCCCAUACCACCCUCAGACUAAUGGGCAGGCAGAGGUGUCCAACAGGGAAGUAAAAACAAUUUCGGAAAAGAAGGUCAACCCAGGAAGAAAGGAUUGGAGCCUCCAAGUGGAUGGCGCUCUAUGGGCUUACAGGACAGCUUUCAAGACUCUUAUUGGGAUGUCUCCCUACCGGAUGGUUUAUGGUAAGGCUUUCCAUAUUCCAGUUGAAAAUCCAACACAAAGCUUAAUGGGCAACCAAGAAGUGCAGGAUUUAGAGACAAUUGGGGAGGUCAAACUUCUACAACUUAAGUAGUUAAAAGAGUUAAGGUUAUAAUGAUUUGAUAAUUCUUUGAUUUAUAAGAAAAGAGUGAAGGAUAUUCAUGGUAGAAUGAUUGCACCCAAGGAGUUUUAGGUAGGGCAAAAGGUACUUCUUUAUAACUCUCGAUUGAAAUUUAUGCCUGGUGAACUCCAGUCCAAGUGGCUUGGACCAUUUGGUGUUUCUCACGUUUAUCCUUAUGGUGCAGUAGACAUUGUUAAUCUUGCAUCAGUGAAGGUUAUUAAAGUUAAUGGGCAUAAGUUGAAGGUCUUCCAUGAUGGCAAGUCGUUGGAUUACUUCGACGUUGCCUACUGAUUGGACUCGCCGAUCUACAUCUGAAAUUGAGCCAUCACGGUCAAGCAACUGACCAUAAAUAUUUGCGCUUCCUAGAGGCUGCUAGGAUUUAAAUUUACUUGAUUUCUAGGAUUAGAUUUCAAUUCAAUAUUUUCUCUUUUUAUUUUUUAUUUAUUUUGUUGAGCUUAAUUCUUUCUAUUAUUCUUGUUUGCUAGGAUUUUUGGGGAGAAAGGAGUUGAGUCGAGUGUCCUAUAUUCUUCCUUUACUCUAUUGUUCAGGGAAGUAUUCUGAUCCCUCGUACUUCAUUUUAAUCACAUUGGGGACAAUAUGUGAUUUAAAAGUUGGGGGUGGGGUGUUUGAAUUUUUAAGAGGAUUUUUUGGCUGAAUCUUUUUAUUUAAUAUAUUAUUUGGGGUCCUUGAGCGUUGUGCUCGGACAAUGCUUGCUUGAUUGAGUUUUUCUUGCUGUUUUAUUCCUUACGAUGACUAAUCUAUAAUGCAGAGUAUGAAUUGUUUUUUGCAUUAGAAUAUGUUGGAAGAAAGGGUUCAUAAUUUUAAUGAUGUUUUUGAAAAAAUUGCUUUUUUUUUUUUAAUUACAUCUCUAAGCCUUUUGCAUAUCUAUCUUGACAUGUUUUCUUGCUUAGAAUUGAAUUAUAAGACCAUAAAGUUGUUGUCACUCUGAUAGGCCUUGGUGAUAGAUAUUAAUCUUUUCGCGGUUCAAUUUAGUAAUGCAUGUUUGAGAUAUAGUCAAUUGAUAUCACUGUCGCCUAGUAAAAAAAAAUAGAGAGAGAGAAUUUUCAUUUAUGCAUGUUUAGGGGUCUACUCCUCUUCUUCAAGGUUAUGAUUAACCUGGGGCGGCCAUGACACCCGUGGUUUCCCUCUGAGCUAAAGUAUCCUAGAGGAAUGAGUAAGCUUAGACACUUUUGAAGGGAAAUUGGCCUAUAAUUGGAUGACUCACAUGACACCCGUGUGGGCAAGCCAAAAUGAAAGUCAUUUUCCUAGAUUAAGUUUCCCCUUUGAGCUCUAAAAAAAAAAAGAGAUAAUAAUAAUAAACAAGAAAGGGCGAUAGAUGAUUAGAUUUUCACCGAUCCAAUUUGAUGUCAUUACCACUUUGAAUUUAGGAAAGCUAAUACUGGAACCUUCAAGCCAGUGUAGGGGAAAAACUAAUGGAAGAUUCAUAAAGCCAUUCCGAGCUUGCUUUUGUUCAAAAUAAAUAACUUUAAGCUUGGACAUGCAUAACAAAUUUUCAAACCGUUCUUAAAAUGAUGGGAUGCUUUUUGAUUAUCUAAUCGAUUGUGAAAUUAAUUCUAGUUGAUUGUUGAGGCUUGAGUAAGGAACAUUCUAUUUUGACUGAUUAUCUUUUGCAUGAUUGUUUGUUUUAACUUGCUCGAGGACGAUCAAGAAUUAAGUUGGGGGUGUUUGAUAGCACUGGAAAUGUGCUAUCUUCUUCCACUUAACUCAGGGUUGUUUAGCUACUUAAUUUGGUUAAAUUGAUUAUUUUUUAGGACUUGAGUGUACAAGUAGUUGAAUUAAGCAGUCGGGACAAAAAGGCGAUAAAAUGACGAAGUUUGGAGCUAAAUUGAUCAACUGACGAAGGAAUGAAGAAUUUUUCCCUGCCGAGCAUUGCAAUGCUCU